This 376-nucleotide unclassified non-coding RNA is filed under the name Hevea brasiliensis (rubber tree). Lineage: Eukaryota; Viridiplantae; Streptophyta; Magnoliopsida; Malpighiales; Euphorbiaceae. The record is from RNAcentral.
CACCUUUUUUUUAGUAGUCAUUGAACACAACAGUUCAGAACAAGAUAAAUAAAUUAAACACGUGUCUGAGAAUACUAUCCACAUAUCACUGAAAAUCGCAAACCAAGUGCGCAGCUUUCAUCUGCCACAAGAUGGAUAGAGUUCGUGCAACCUCCACACAGAUCAAAUUGCAAUAAAAAAAAAAAAAAUAGAAUUGGUUGCCUCACUCACUAUGCCUAAUUCAGCUCAGCAGUCCAGUUCAUCUUGUCCUCUAUAAGGCCCAUCUGUAGUCUAGUAAGCACAGUAUACAACUGUUGCGAGACAGCACCAAAGCCACCUUCUCCAUAAGACACCCUUCUACCCUUGUGAGUGAUGCUGCCCACAGGUGACACAACCA